CAGUCGCCGCGGUAAUACGUAGGGCGCAAGCGUUAUCCGGAAUUAUUGGGCGUAAAGAGCUCGUAGGCGGUUUGUCGCGUCUGCCGUGAAAGUCCGGGGCUCAACCCCGGAUCUGCGGUGGGUACGGGCAGACUAGAGUGAUGUAGGGGAGACUGGAAUUCCUGGUGUAGCGGUGAAAUGCGCAGAUAUCAGGAGGAACACCGAUGGCGAAGGCAGGUCUCUGGGCAUUAACUGACGCUGAGGAGCGAAAGCAUGGGGAGCGAACAGGAUUAGAUACCCCCGUAGUCUCUGUCUCUUAUAC
This 301-nucleotide ribosomal RNA is filed under the name uncultured bacterium. Its description in RNAcentral is "partial 16S ribosomal RNA". It matches the Rfam family "Bacterial small subunit ribosomal RNA", at positions 509 to 807 of the family's 1533-position model. The record is from RNAcentral.